GCCUUGGUAGAUCAAAUUGGUAUAUCAUCCCAGCUUUAUAUUCGAAGUCGUAGUUCGUGGGAAGACCGAGGUUCGAAUCCUCCCCAAGGCA
Mycena rebaudengoi is the source of this 91-nucleotide non-coding RNA. NCBI's taxonomy places the organism in Eukaryota, Fungi, Basidiomycota, Agaricomycetes, Agaricales, Mycenaceae. The record is from the annotation of a GenBank genome assembly.